Molecule: ribosomal RNA, 113 nt
Organism: Oryctolagus cuniculus (rabbit)
Lineage: Eukaryota; Metazoa; Chordata; Mammalia; Lagomorpha; Leporidae
Source: Rfam
UUCUACAGCCAUACCACCCUGAACAUACCCAGUCUUGUCUGAUCUUGGAAUUUAAGCAGGGUCAGGCAUAGUUUGUACAUGGAUGGGAGAUAUUAUAGAAUUUUGAGUACAAA